UACGAAGGGUGCAAGCGUUACUCGGAAUUACUGGGCGUAAAGCGUGCGUAGGUGGUUUGUUAAGUCUGUUGUGAAAGCCCCGGGCUCAACCUGGGAAUGGCAAUGGAUACUGGCAGGCUAGAGUGCGGUAGAGGGUAGUGGAAUUCCCGGUGUAGCGGUGAAAUGCGUAGAGAUCGGGGAGGAACACCAGUGGCGAAGGCGGCUACCUGGACCAGCACUGACGCUGAGGAGCGAAAGCAUGGGGAGCGAACAGG
Molecule: ribosomal RNA, 254 nt
Filed under: uncultured bacterium
Lineage: Bacteria
Description: partial 16S ribosomal RNA
Rfam family: Bacterial small subunit ribosomal RNA
Source: RNAcentral